Long non-coding RNA from Alosa alosa (allis shad), 951 nucleotides. RefSeq lists it as uncharacterized. The transcript is spliced from 3 exons. Lineage: Eukaryota; Metazoa; Chordata; Actinopteri; Clupeiformes; Clupeidae. The record is from RefSeq and is a predicted model, not a curated record.
AAAGACUGCAAAGGGAACAAAACAGCAGACAAAACAUCUUUUGGACUGGGCUACUGAUCAUUUUCUUGCUCUUCUAAUGAGAUUGUUAGACAUUGGAUAUAAACUAAACAAACAGCGCACCAGGUGGACACUUCAAGAAAGACUGCAAAGGGAACAAAACAGCAGACAAAACAUCUUUUGGACUGGGCUACUGAUCAUUUUCUUGCUCUUCUAAUGAGAUUGUGUUGCUGAACUUGGACGACAAACAUCAUGGGAGUCAAAGGAUUAAAAUCUUACAUAGAGGAAAAUAAUCUCUAUUUGAAAGACCAUUUUACAGGGAGCAAGUUAGUUAUCGAUGGGUGUAAUCUGUGCAGUGCUCUUUAUGAAGCCUCAUAUCAUGAUUUGAAGCAUGGUGGGGAUUAUUACGUUUAUGAGAGUUUGAUCAAGAAGUUUUUUUGCGGCUCUGAAAAACUGCAACUUAGACCCCUAUGUUAUCCUUGAUGGAGGAAGUGGCCAUACUGACAAAAACUGAGGACCCUCAAGCAACGUGACUGACAAAGAAUUAAAACAGCCAAAGAUAUGUCAUUAGGGCGCAAAUGUUAUGGUGGAGGUAUUAAACCAGCACUCUUGCCAAUUGUUUUCAGCCAGAUGCUCACUCUUUUGAAGAUACCAUUUGUCCAGUGCAUGGAAGAGGCUGACUGGGAAAUUGCUGCUUUGGCCAAUCAGUGGAAUUGUCCAGUCCUAUCAGACGAUAGUGACUUCUUUAUCUUUGAGCUAAAAGCAAGAGUUUUACCCAUUUCACAUUUCGAGUGGCGCAAAGUUUCCGCCCAGAAGUUCAUUCCAGCCAAGAGAUUUUUAGUUUUGAACUUAUGUAAGUGUUUCCUCAACCUGAACGAGCAGUUUCUCCCUCUCUUUGCUGCCUUAGCUUGUUCUGUCACUCAAUGUAUGAGGUGUCCAAAAUGAAAGAAAACG